Molecule: long non-coding RNA, 245 nt
Filed under: Lathyrus oleraceus (garden pea)
Lineage: Eukaryota; Viridiplantae; Streptophyta; Magnoliopsida; Fabales; Fabaceae
Description: Pisum sativum (pea) long non-coding RNA (PSAT_LNC041684)
Source: RNAcentral
AGACUUCCAAGUAAGAUUUCCAGAUUUCAAUCUCACAAGCAUGCAUCAGAAGGGACCUCUAUGUUUCAAAAGGCAAAUAUUCUUAUCAAAAUGAAUAGAUGUUUUCGUAAUCAACAGUAAUGACACAAAAACAAAAUUUACUUGAUCGAACACACGCUUUAUUUGACUGGAAUAAAAGAUGGUUCACAAUUGGGCAACACACAGGAAGCAAACCCUGGAAAGAGGUGAUUGCACAUAAAAGAAAA